CCCACGGGUGGCUGCAGUGGGGAAUAUUGGACAAUGGGGGCAACCCUGAUCCAGCCAUGCCGCGUGUGUGAAGAAGGCCCUCGGGUUGUAAAGCACUUUCAGUGAGGAAGAACGCCUGGUGGUUAAUACCCAUCAGGAAAGACAUCACUCACAGAAGAAGCACCGGCUAACUCCGUGCCAGCAGCCGCGGUAAUACGGAGGGUGCGAGCGUUAAUCGGAAUUACUGGGCGUAAAGCGCGCGUAGGUGGCUUGAUAAGCCGGUUGUGAAAGCCCCGGGCUCAACCUGGGAACGGCAUCCGGAACUGUCAAGCUAGAGUGCAGGAGAGGAAGGUAGAAUUCCCGGUGUAGCGGUGAAAUGCGUAGAGAUCGGGAGGAAUACCAGUGGCGAAGGCGGCCUUCUGGACUGACACUGACACUGAGGUGCGAAAGCGUGGGUAGCAAACAGGAUUAGAUACCCCGGUAGUC
RNAcentral lists this ribosomal RNA (465 nucleotides) under Vreelandella stevensii. RNAcentral's name for it is "partial 16S ribosomal RNA". It matches the Rfam family "Bacterial small subunit ribosomal RNA", at positions 338 to 795 of the family's 1533-position model. Lineage: Bacteria; Pseudomonadati; Pseudomonadota; Gammaproteobacteria; Oceanospirillales; Halomonadaceae. The record is from RNAcentral.